GGAAAGGCGCGCGAUACAGGGUGACAGCCCCGUACACAAAAAUGCACAUGCUGUGAGCUCGAUGAGUAGGGCGGGACACGUGGUAUCCUGUCUGAAUAUGGGGGGACCAUCCUCCAAGGCUAAAUACUCCUGACUGACCGAUAGUGAACCAGUACCGUGAGGGAAAGGCGAAAAGAACCCCGGCGAGGGGAGUGAAAAAGAACCUGAAACCGUGUACGUACAAGCAGUGGGAGCACGCUUAGGCGUGUGACUGCGUACCUUUUGUAUAAUGGGUCAGCGACUUAUAUUCUGUAGCAAGGUUAACCGAAUAGGGGAGCCGAAGGGAAACCGAGUCUUAACUGGGCGUUAAGUUGCAGGGUAUAGACCCGAAACCCGGUGAUCUAGCCAUGGGCAGGUUGAAGGUUGGGUAACACUAACUGGAGGACCGAACCGACUAAUGUUGAAAAAUUAGCGGAUGACUUGUGGCUGGGGGUGAAAGGCCAAUCAAACCGGGAGAUAGCUGGUUCUCCCCGAAAGCUAUUUAGGUAGCGCCUCGUGAAUUCAUCUCCGGGGGUAGAGCACUGUUUCGGCAAGGGGGUCAUCCCGACUUACCAACCCGAUGCAAACUGCGAAUACCGGAGAAUGUUAUCACGGGAGACACACGGCGGGUGC
This 651-nucleotide ribosomal RNA is filed under the name Escherichia coli. RNAcentral's name for it is "partial 23S ribosomal RNA". It matches the Rfam family "Bacterial large subunit ribosomal RNA", at positions 344 to 998 of the family's 2925-position model. The record is from RNAcentral. Lineage: Bacteria; Pseudomonadati; Pseudomonadota; Gammaproteobacteria; Enterobacterales; Enterobacteriaceae.